Molecule: long non-coding RNA, 340 nt
Filed under: Aquilegia coerulea
Lineage: Eukaryota; Viridiplantae; Streptophyta; Magnoliopsida; Ranunculales; Ranunculaceae
Description: long non-coding RNA (ACOE_LNC000703)
Source: RNAcentral
GCGGCACGUUUUUAUUGCGUGAUUAGAAGAAGGGUUGCAAACGAAAAUCAGUUGGUGUGAUGCCGAAGGAAGUUAUCUCCUAACUCGAGCAAAGCUCUAUGAAACUCCCCUUUCUCCUUCUCAAACUCCAUAACUACAUCCUCUUCAAUUCGCUGAUUAUAUCAAUUCUUCUUUUCUCUCUUCUCUUCUCAAACUCCACCGCCACCGCCACCGCCACCACCACCACCACCAGAAGAUUACUGGUAAGAUCUCAAUAGCACUAUAAUCCAAUUCUUUACUUUCUAUAAAUAAAAAACUGUCGUUGCUCAGAAAAGUUUUUCAUCUUCUUUGUGGUAACUAU